Molecule: ribosomal RNA, 238 nt
Filed under: uncultured bacterium
Lineage: Bacteria
Description: partial 16S ribosomal RNA
Rfam family: Bacterial small subunit ribosomal RNA
Source: RNAcentral
GAUCGGCUCAGGAUGAACGCUAGCUACAGGCUUAACACAUGCAAGUCGAGGGGAAACGACAUCGAAAGCUUGCUUUUGAUGGGCGUCGACCGGCGCACGGGUGAGUAACGCGUAUCCAACCUGCCCAUCACUUGGGAAUAACCUUGCGAAAGUAAGACUAAUGCCCAAUGAUAUCCCACGAAGGCAUCCGAAUGGGAUUAAAGAUUUAUCGGUGAUGGAUGGGGAUGCGUCUGAUUAG